UACGGAGGUGGCAAGCGUUGCUCGGAUUUACUGGGUGUAAAGGGCACGUAGGCGGCCCGGUAAGCCCUGCUUGAAAUGCUCUGGCUCAACCAGAGCACGCGGUGGGGGACUGCCGGACUUGAGGAUGAGAGAGGCGAGCGGAAUUCCCGGUGUAAGGGUGAAAUCUGUAGAUAUCGGGAGGAACACCAGUGGCGAAAGCGGCUCGCUGGCUCAUUUCUGACGCUAAGGUGCGAAAGCUAGGGGAGCAAACAGG
Molecule: ribosomal RNA, 253 nt
Filed under: uncultured bacterium
Lineage: Bacteria
Description: partial 16S ribosomal RNA
Rfam family: Bacterial small subunit ribosomal RNA
Source: RNAcentral